UUUCGAUAAAAUAUUACCCAAACGCCAAUUCAAGUGAAAAGGAAACCCUAGAUUUUGAUUUAUAGUAGCAAAAUUGACAAAGAGCCACACGAGGGAGGGUCAAGGGCUGCACAAGUUACAUCGACUCCGACAUCGGAGUUUGCAGCCCUCUCCGCCUCCAAAAAUAUCUCACUCUUCUUUAUCCCACCAAUUAUUUCACAUCAUCAUCUAACCCCCACCCCCAGAUUACCAUAAAAAUCAAACCUUUAUGGAUUCUUGGGAAAAACUGUGACCCCAUUUUAUUGUUUUUCCAUUUCAGUAUUUUCUUGGCUUUUUAGGUUUUAUUUAGGGUAUUAUUGAGACCCCCAAGUAGGAAAAAAGGAGAAGGAGAAAGGGAGAUGGCUCAAAAUGGGCAGGGGAUAGAACCUGCGGUUCUUGAUGACAUAAUUAACAGGCUAUUGGAGUUUAGGAAUGCAAGAACUGUUAGACAGGUUCAGCUUUCAGAGGCUGAGAUUCGUUCUCUCUGUACUGCUGCAAGAGCAAUCUUUCUUCAGCAGCCCAAUCUUUUGGAGCUUGAAGCCCCUAUCAAGAUCUGUGGUGAUAUUCAUGGACAGUAUGGUGAUCUUCUGAGGCUUUUUGAAUAUGGUGGAUUCCCACCCCAGUCCAAUUAUUUGUUUUUAGGGGACUAUGUGGAUCGUGGCAAACAGAGUUUGGAGACUAUAUGCCUUCUACUUGCUUACAAAAUUAAGUACCCAGAGAACUUCUUUCUGUUAAGAGGGAAUCAUGAGUGUGCUUCUAUUAACCGGAUAUAUGGAUUUUAUGAUGAAUGUAAGCGCCGAUUCAAUGUGAGGCUGUGGAAAGUCUUCACUGAUUGUUUCAACUGUCUUCCCGUGGCAGCUCUUAUAGAUGAUAAAAUACUUUGCAUGCAUGGUGGUCUUUCUCCUGAUCUAACAGACAUGGAUCUGAUACGAAAUUUACCUCGUCCUACAGAUGUUCCAGAUUCCGGUUUGCUUUGUGAUUUACUUUGGUCAGAUCCUAGUAGGGAAGUUAAAGGUUGGGGAAUGAAUGACAGGGGCGUCUCAUAUACCUUUGGUCCUGAUAAAGUGGCAGAGUUCUUGAUGCAACAUGAUAUGGACCUUGUUUGUCGUGCCCAUCAGGUUGUGGAGGACGGCUAUGAAUUUUUUGCUGAAAGGCAGCUAGUUACAGUAUUUUCUGCACCAAACUACUGUGGGGAAUUUGAUAAUGCUGGUGCAAUGAUGAGUGUGGAUGAAAAUCUGAUGUGCUCUUUCCAGAUUUUGAAGCCAGCAGAUAGGAAACCUCGGUUCUUGUGAAGCAAAAGGUCAUAGCUUAUGUAUGUGCUCUCCCGGUGGAACCUAAGGUCUAUAUUGAGGUGUACUUUUGUAUUGUUGAUCACUUCAUCCUUGAGCAUGACUAUUUCUCAGAAAUUCCUUAUGUGCUGGGAAAAGAGCAGUUGAAGAUGCUGGCUUCUGUAAUGUUUGUCAUACAAGCAUGCUUUCCAAUGGGAAAGCAGUUGGUGGUUCAGUACAAGGACCAUGAAGAUUGACAUUAACUGUACUAGUUUGAAUACUUUUCCUCUGUUUUUCCUUGGUGGGUCGUUUAUCCUUUUUUAUAUUUGCUCGUGCAAUCUAUGAUUUGACGUGUACAUACAUUCUCUUUGUAAUCUCAGUUUCAAUUUUUCUAGUUUACUCCUAAUUACUAUAUUGUAAUCCGAAUGGUUUGCUAGUUUCUACUUUCACUGUCUUCAUGAAA
Molecule: RNA transcript, 1749 nt
Organism: Solanum lycopersicum (tomato)
Lineage: Eukaryota; Viridiplantae; Streptophyta; Magnoliopsida; Solanales; Solanaceae
Gene name: serine/threonine-protein phosphatase PP1 isozyme 2
Source: RefSeq, a predicted model, not a curated record